This 436-nucleotide ribosomal RNA is filed under the name Aphthona nioniscutis. RNAcentral's name for it is "eukaryotic LSU rRNA". The record is from RNAcentral. Lineage: Eukaryota; Metazoa; Arthropoda; Insecta; Coleoptera; Chrysomelidae.
GGGUAACCCUGAGAAACCCGAAAGGUCGAAAGGGGAAAUUCAUUCGCGUUUCGGCCGUCAGAGGUGAUGUUGUGUGACGGAUGGCGUUCGCGUCGUCUGCGCCUUGCGUCCAUCUAACUGGCGUCGAACGCGUGCACUUUUCCCCUAGUAGGACGUCGCGAUCCGUUGGGUGUCUGUCUAAGACUCGGGGUGGAGCCCAGAUGACCACGGUCGUUUGGACCCUCGAUGUUCCGACAGACUCGCUCGACGGUAUGCUAAAGGCGCGGGGCCGCUAUUCAGUUAGCGUUCGGCCCGUAUCAAGCACGUUCUGCGUUUGAUGGCGAUCGGAUCUGAUGCCGAUUCUGUCCCGGAACGACUGUUGGGUGCGGUGUUCUCGAACAGACCUCGUUGAAACGCCGAUCAAGCGACGCUAUAGCUUUGGGUACUUUCAGGACCC